Molecule: long non-coding RNA, 702 nt
Filed under: Gossypium barbadense (sea-island cotton)
Lineage: Eukaryota; Viridiplantae; Streptophyta; Magnoliopsida; Malvales; Malvaceae
Description: long non-coding RNA (GBAR_LNC005783)
Source: RNAcentral
UCGUUUCCUUUCUUUCCUACAUUCUUUAUUUUUUUUUCUUUUUACUUUCUCUUAUUUCCAUCUUUCUCUCUUCUUUCUUUAGCCAUUCGGCCUCCACUGAUCAUAAGCCUCUAAAGUGAUGCUCCUUGUCCUCCACUCAUGUUUUCCGGUUUAGAUUUCCUCAAACCCAAACCAAAAUCUUCAAAAAAAUCGAAUAAAAAGAAACUUGAUCCGUCGUCAGAUCGGUCUCAUUUUCUAGUAUGAUGCUCUUCACCAUCCAAGGAAGAUUUUCCUCAAUGGGAUCGUCAAUUGGUCAUCUCAAACCAAUCCAAAACGGUUGUGUUCUCUCCUUUUCUUCUUUUGCAAAAUCUUUGGUUAGUCUCGAUUAGGGCUAACUCAUGUUUGGGGUUGUGUUUUAUGGCUCGAGGAUGGGGUGGGUUUUGGUUAGUCUCUAUAAUGCUUUUCAAUUUAUUGAUUUCUAUAUUCACUUGCCGGUGGUUAUGUGCUUGUUUUCUGCAUGAAAGGUAUGCAAGAGAAAUGGAGAAGUUCAAGAUGAGGAUUUGAAGAAGGAGCCAUGAGUUUUUCAAGUUGAUCUUCAUAUAUUCUUUUAUUUGUUGUUCAUCACUAAUUUAUAUCAUAUUGGUUAUUAUGUAAAAAAAAAAAAAGAUUGGUUAUUCAUUUAUUCUAUUUUUCUUGUGAUUUAAGAUUUUAAUUGCAAUAAUC